Paramuricea clavata is the source of this 462-nucleotide non-coding RNA. The record is from the annotation of a GenBank genome assembly. Lineage: Eukaryota; Metazoa; Cnidaria; Anthozoa; Malacalcyonacea; Plexauridae.
AAUAGUGGCAAUAACAAGAAAAUCUGAUAUCUUGAUGAUCAUUUAAUAAAAUUCACUGAAACUUGGCACACUUAGUGGGUGCAACGAAGUGAACAAUUUGGCGUGUUUAUAUGGUUGUUAUGGCAACACACUCGUCCCCAGUCCCUUCUCUUCCAAUUUCUAUAUGAUCCAUUUCCAACGAAAUAAAUAGUAAUUUCUGCAAUUGUCGCUUAUUACUAUCAUACGUGUAGGUAUUGUGAUAAGUUUAAACCGUUAUAACAUGCAAACAUCCUCUGCAAGAGGUCUACAGGAGGAAAUUUGUGAAAAAGAAGAGAAGAGACUGUGGACUAGUGUGUUGCCAUGACAACCACAUGACCAUCCAAAAAUAUUCAUAUGGGUGCACCCACUAAGUGUGCCGAGUUUCAUUGAAUUUUAUUAAAUACUCUCUAAAAUAUCAGACUUUCUUGUUAUUGCCAUUAUCUC